RNAcentral lists this ribosomal RNA (255 nucleotides) under uncultured bacterium. RNAcentral's name for it is "partial 16S ribosomal RNA". It matches the Rfam family "Bacterial small subunit ribosomal RNA", at positions 524 to 776 of the family's 1533-position model. The record is from RNAcentral.
UACGGGGGGGAGCAAGCGUUGUUCGGAUUUACUGGGCGUAAAGGGCGCGUAGGCGGCCACCGCAAGUCGACUGUGAAAUCUCCGGGCUUAACCCGGAAAGGUCAGCCGAUACUGCGGGGCUAGAGUGCAGAAGGGGCAACUGGAAUUCUCGGUGUAGCGGUGAAAUGCGUAGAUAUCGAGAGGAACACCUGCGGCGAAGGCGGGUUGCUGGGCUGACACUGACGCUGAGUCGCGAAGACUAGGGGAGCGAACGGG